RNAcentral lists this ribosomal RNA (440 nucleotides) under uncultured bacterium. RNAcentral describes it as "partial 16S ribosomal RNA". It matches the Rfam family "Bacterial small subunit ribosomal RNA", at positions 338 to 795 of the family's 1533-position model. The record is from RNAcentral.
CCUACGGGUGACAGCAGUGGGGAAUAUUGCACAAUGGGGGGAAGCCUGAUGCAGCGACGCCGCGUGAGUGAAGAAGUAUUUCGGUGUGUAAAGCUCUAUCAGCAGGGAAGAAAAUGACGGUACCUGACUAAGAAGCUCCGGCUAACUACGUGCCAGCAGCCGCGGGCAUACGGAGGGGGCAAGCGUUAUCCGGAUUUACUGGGUGUAAAGGGAGCUUAGACGGUUAUGCAAGUCUGAAGUGAAAGCCGAAGGCUCAACCAUGGGACUGCAGUGGAAACUGUAAAACUGGAGUGCAGGAGAGGUAAGCGGAAUUCGUAGUGUAGCGGUGAAAUGCGUAGAUAUUAGGAGGAACACCAGUGGCGAAGGCGGCUUACUGGACUGUAACUGACGUUGAGGCUCGAAGGUGUGGGGAGCAAACAGGAUUAGAUACCCCUGUAGUC